This is a long non-coding RNA of Dermochelys coriacea (leatherback sea turtle), 878 nucleotides long. RefSeq lists it as uncharacterized. The record is from RefSeq and is a predicted model, not a curated record. The transcript has 4 exons. Lineage: Eukaryota; Metazoa; Chordata; Testudines; Dermochelyidae.
UUGACAGUCAUGCCCUGGGAGGAGAGUUUGGGGACUGCAGAGAUGUGUAGCCUGCAGUUACUUCCUAGGAAGAGGGAGCAGUGAAGCUGGCAAACCCAAAGAGAGAGGGAGUGCCAGAUGGUAAGGAAAAGGCUCCAGGAAAGACAGUAAGGUCCAGGAGGGAACAGACCUUGACUUCUGGUGAGAGGGUCCCUGAGCCAGAAUCUGGAUUAGGUGGUGGGCCUGGGUUCCCCUGCUAGCUCCUGAGGAAGUAGUGUUCUGAGGCAGUGAGUGAAAAGAUUGCCUGGGACUGUGGAAGAAACCCUUUGGGACUGCGGAAGGGGAAAACAUGAAGAGUGACCUGGCUGGAAGGCUGAUUCACAAAGAGGUAGCUCCUGGAGUGAGAGAGAGGCUGCAGUAAGAGAGAAGGAUGGAGAAAUGGUGUGCAACUGUGGGAUGGGUUGUUGACCUUCUGAAGCUAAUCCCCAGAAUGGCCAGAAGGAGGCACCAUCCUAGCAAGGUGAAAGAGUUGCAACAGACCAGUUGUCCCCUAUCCUUGCAUGAAUCCUUGAGCAUAGCUGCUUAAAGAAGGAACUGUGAGGCAAUGGUAGCUAAUAUUUGUUACACUGGCCUCCUUCGAUUACAGUGCCUUUGGUAAGGAAGCUCAUGACAAGCCUGAACAGACUUUAAGAAAUCAUUAUAUGCAGACUUGAUUGGAUUCCUCUGAAUCUUGGAGAUUAGUGUUCUGAAACAAAAUUAAAAACAUGAUGGAAAGGCAAUCAUGAGGCUGGCAGAAAGGAAGAGACAACACAGACACAGGCCUUGCCUAUAUACAAAAGUUGCAUUCAUUUAACUAAAUCAAUUAAAAUUGACAGAAUUAAACUGGUGCAAACACAAUA